Molecule: long non-coding RNA, 352 nt
Organism: Helianthus annuus (common sunflower)
Lineage: Eukaryota; Viridiplantae; Streptophyta; Magnoliopsida; Asterales; Asteraceae
Exons: 4
Source: RefSeq, a predicted model, not a curated record
GGUGAAGUGAAAUUAUUUCGAAGGUUUAAAUGAUUUCUUGGGCUUCGUUCCUAUUGGUGCUUGGUAAGGGAAUUGAAGGAAUGCUGGAUGGUACAAUCCAUUUCUCAUGGCUUGCUAUGAUCCCGACACUGAUGAAUAUCAAAGUGUCUGUCGUGUAAUGUCCGGCUUCUCUGAUGCGUUCUGUAUAGAGAUGAGAAAUUGUUAAAUCUCUUGAUGUUGAAGAUGGUUAUCUCCCGUCAAAGCGUUCGGAUUCUUGGUUAAAGGUGAAGUGAAAUUAUUUCGAAGGUUUAAAUGAUUUCUUGGGCUUGAUUCCUAUUGGUGCUUGGUACGUGAAUGGAAGGAAUGUUGGAUG